GUUGUGUACCAAUUAAAAACACUGCCAGAAAGUUGAUUCUAUUCAUCAGUACAUUUACAAAGUGACCAAAUCUAGCACCACUGGCUAACAAUGGGCUUUGAGGUCAGUUUCAUGAUCAUUAAUAUGCAAAUUGUCAAUAUUCACAGAGAGUUGGGGAAUGGCUGCAAUCACAGCAUUGUAAGAUGGUGACAGAUGUACCCUUAGGCCCCCUCUUUGAUUCAGAGAUGGUCUUUUCUGGAGAUGGUCUCCUUGACUCCUUGAUCCUCCUGGCACUUACCAGUGUACUCUAUAUUACUCUGUUUGUGCCAAUGGAACUGAUCCUUGGGGUGAUUUUUUGCAAAAUGAUCCUAUUGGUCAUUGUGCAAAUGUACUGUUUAUAAUGUUGGGGAAACCUGGAGUCAGCUGAGACUAAAGAAGUCACUUGAAUUGACGAAAUGGUCCCCUCAUUGUGAUGUGCUGAAUGAACUUUCAUUAUCUGAAUGACUGAGUAUGCAUCAAUUUGAAUCUGAAGUCUUCCAACAGCACGUCAUCUAUUCUAUUUUAUUCUGACAAAAACCUGUGGACUGUGUGUGUACUCACAUCUCUUCUGCAGGGCUUUUACAGUAGGUCUGGUGAAGCGCAUCAGGAAAAGGAUGAGCAAUAUGCAGAAGAGCAACGCUGUCAUCACUUUGUAGGUCUUCAGCUUUGUCGCAGGACUGCUAGUCAGGGAAAUGGAGCUGACAGUGUAGUUUUCAGUUUGGUUAUAAUCUGGAGUUUGGGUAUUUCCUGGAGGACACAUAUCAGUUAGUAUAUAUAACAAAAGUACAACAAUAAUGAAUGUAUCCCUCUGUUGUGGACUUCAGUAUGUGGACUAGAGAUGCUGUGAAUCAAACCUUAUACAGACGACCUGCAGGGAAGAAUAAAGUUACAAGAAACAUGGAACAGAAUCACACAUUUACAAGAGAAACAAAGAUAUUCUUUAAGAUUAAGUUUGUGUGAAAAUAAAAAACAACAAACAAAAAGAUUUUUCAAGGAACGACAUUCUUAAAGUUUAUGUUCCAUUGGAAGGUCAUUGCUGCGAAGUUGACUAUGACCCAGCUAAGCUGCUGCAGAUUACAGCACUAUUAUGUUUUAUAAACCUUGGAUCAAUAACUGCAGACGCACAUUCAGGACCUGCUCUACUCAAAGCACUUUGGAAAUUGGUGAAACCAGAAGAAAAGACUUGAUGUUACAAAUUUUGUAAAGUUUUGUGAAUUUUGUCCUGCAUGUUGGAAAUUUGUGCGAGAUGGUUGGUUAGAGAUGAUUAGAGCCGUAACAAACUGUAAAAAAUGACAUCAAAGUUCAUUGAUUGGAUAUUUAGUUUUUAAUCAGUGAUGACUUUCUUAGUAAACUAGUAGCAGGGGUACGUGAGCUCUGAUGUGUUUUUAGAUAUCACCUUCUUAUUCUCGAAACACCAGAAACUAUCUUCUAUUUGGUGCCGCUGAGCUGUAGUGGUGACACAAGUUUCAGCGGCAUGGAUUUCAAAGCCUCUGCAAACAGAAGUGAAACUAUGUGCACGACUAAACCGCUGUAGGGAAACAUGUACAGAUAAGACCUUUUUAUAUAAAGAUGAACAGUACAGACUGACCCACAUUUCAAAC
Long non-coding RNA from Oreochromis aureus, 1619 nucleotides. The record is from Ensembl. NCBI's taxonomy places the organism in Eukaryota, Metazoa, Chordata, Actinopteri, Cichliformes, Cichlidae.